This 179-nucleotide ribosomal RNA is filed under the name fungal sp. 4.10.3B. RNAcentral describes it as "5.8S ribosomal RNA". It matches the Rfam family "5.8S ribosomal RNA". From Rfam's summary of the family: 5.8S ribosomal RNA (5.8S rRNA) is a component of the large subunit of the eukaryotic ribosome. It is transcribed by RNA polymerase I as part of the 45S precursor that also contains 18S and 28S rRNA. Functionally, it is thought that 5.8S rRNA may be involved in ribosome translocation. The record is from RNAcentral. Lineage: Eukaryota; Fungi.
CAACUUUUAGCGACAGGGAUCUCAUGGGGUCCUCCCAUCGACGAAUAACUCAACACAAUGUGAUCGACUAGGUGUAACUGAAUGUGCAGAACUUGCCAGUGAAUCAAUCGACUCUUUGAACGCACCUUCGCGCCCUCUGGGGUAUUCCGGAGGGCAUGACCUGUUUGAGUGUCAAUUCA